RNAcentral lists this unclassified non-coding RNA (211 nucleotides) under Hevea brasiliensis (rubber tree). Lineage: Eukaryota; Viridiplantae; Streptophyta; Magnoliopsida; Malpighiales; Euphorbiaceae. The record is from RNAcentral.
CCGACUCAGGGUGCGGGAAGAGCACCUUCAUGAGGAGGCUGACCAGUGUGUUCGGAGGGGCGGCAGAGCCUCCGAAGGGCGGGAAUCCAGACUCCAACACACUUAUCAGUGACACUACAACUGUGAUAUGUCUCGAUGACUAUCAUUCUCUUGAUAGGACUGGGAGGAAGGAGAAGGGAGUGACUGCUCUAGACCCUAGGGCAAACAACUU